AUGAUGAUGAUUUGAUUGAUGAACCAGUAGAAAAUUUUUUCUACUAUUCAUCCCUACUCUGGCCAGAGAUUCUCUGAAUCAUCAUUCUAUGAUAUCACAUAGGAUGUUCUUUCCUCUUACAAGGAGUGACCAAUUCUUUGUUGACCAUUUACAACCUCCAUGCAUACUUCACCAUACCUAGAACAUCUCAUACAUAUUCAAAAAGUCAUGCUAAAGUAUGAACCAAAGCAUGCAUCUACA
Molecule: long non-coding RNA, 240 nt
Filed under: Elaeis guineensis (African oil palm)
Lineage: Eukaryota; Viridiplantae; Streptophyta; Magnoliopsida; Arecales; Arecaceae
Description: long non-coding RNA (EGUI_LNC047990)
Source: RNAcentral